Long non-coding RNA from Gasterosteus aculeatus aculeatus (three-spined stickleback), 2036 nucleotides. The record is from Ensembl. Lineage: Eukaryota; Metazoa; Chordata; Actinopteri; Perciformes; Gasterosteidae.
UUUAUUCAAGUAUAAUUAUCGGCUACCGUUGAGUUGAGGAAUCAGUUUGAUGCAAAAAGUAAAAAGUCUCCAGUUGUCUUAAAUAUGAAUAUUAUCAGAUUGUUGUGAGCAAACCAGAGAUUUGAGGACUUGUUUUAUUUUCAUAAACUAAACAGCUAAUGGAAAAAGUAAUCCACAGGUUUACAGACCAUGAAUCACUAGCUAGUAUGAUCUUUACUCGAGAUACUCGAGCAUCUGGCCUCCUCCAGGUAGGACUUUCAGAAUGAAUGUUUGAGGAGGUCUGGAGGGAUUUAAUGAGUCUCGUGCUUCUCUGCUGCAGUGUGGAGAGCGAUUACAGAAGCACGUGAGACUAUUAAGAGUUCCCACCAACACCAGGUUCUCUUCCUCAAAGUGUACCGACUCACACCUCAGAUCUCCACGAGGCUUCAUGUGUAUGAAUCCAAACCCGAUCUGAAAGCUUCUUCUGGUUCUUCUUCUUCAUCGCUGUGGAUCCUCCGGCUUCAGAGGACUCGCCUCAUGAAGGCUGAAAAGCUUCUGGUCCACUUCUGCAGACAAAAGGGAUUCAAGAGACUCACACGACUCUGUACUGACAACGACUCACCUGACCACCGACACUAACGACUCACCUGACCACCGACACGAACGAGUCACGUGACUACUGACACUAACGAGUCACAUGACUACCGACACUAACGAGUCAGGUGACUACCGACACUAACGAGUCACCUGACUACUGACACUAACGACUCACCUGACUACCGACACGAACGAGUCAGGUGACUACCGACACUAACGACUCACGUGACCACCGACACUAACGAGUCACAUGACUACCGACACUAACGAGUCAGGUGACUACCGACACGAACGAGUCAGGUGACUACCGACACGAACGAGUCACGUGACUACCGACACUAACGAGUCACAUGACUACCGACACUAACGAGUCACGUGACUACCGACACUAACGACUCACGUGACCACCGACACUAACGAGUCACAUGACUACCGACACUAACGAGUCAGGUGACUACCGACACUAACGAGUCACGUGACUACAGACACUAACGAGUCAGGUGACUACCGACACUAACGAGUCACGUGACUACAGACACUAACGACUCACGUGACCACCGACACUAACGAGUCAGGUGACUACCGACACUAACGAGUCAGGUGACUACCGACACUAACGAGUCACGUGACUACAGACACUAACGAGUCAGGUGACUACAGACACUAACGACUUACCUGACCACCGACACUAACGAGUCACAUGACUACCGACACUAACGAGUCAGGUGACUACCGACACUAACGAGUCACGUGACUACAGACACUAACGAGUCAGGUGACUACAGACACUAACGAGUCACGUGACCACCGACACUAACGAGUCAGGUGACUACAGACACUAACGAGUCACGUGACCACCGACACUAACGAGUCAGGUGACUGAUAAGUCAAACUAAUAACAAUAUCUCAAUUUAUUUUAUCUUUUUUUAUUACAAUUUUGUAUCAAAGGUGCACAUUAAUAAAUCACAUAAGUCUUUAUAACUUUAACUCACAGUAAAAGACGUCUCAUGUCAGUAAUGGUUCUUUUAAUUCUGUGAAUCACUAAUUAGCAGAAGGUGGUUUAAUACAAGACGAGCAGCAGAGAUCCAGUAGAAUAGAAAGAUUCAUAGCAGACGCCUCCUUAAUUCCCCUUUAUGCUAAUUAAUAAUAAUCAAAGCUGCUUAUGUAACGGUGCACAACAGAAGGAGUCCUCCGUUCCGUCUCUCCAUCUUCCUGUGAUUUGACUUGAAAAUCUGUGUUUUGAGCUUUGACAGCAGCUCAGAUCGUGGUGAUAAAAAGCCGGUUGGUUACGUAACGCUGCUGCCCACAUAACCCCAGAUUACUGCUCUACAGGAGGAUGUGAUCAUCUCCACCACACCGACGAGUCACGUGACCAACUAGUGACUCGGGAGGACGGGGAGGACUGAGAGGACUGGGAGGACAGGGAGGACUGAGAGGACAGGGAGGACAGGCAGGACGGG